CAGGACAGCUUAGGAACGCAUUACUUUCAAGACGAGGCACGCAAGGGGCAGCGACCAAGAACACAACGCAACGAAGAUACUGGACUACGAAAGCGCUCCAACCCACAAGUCCCACUGUGGACUGCGUCCACACCAGUGCGUGAUGCAUCGGAUAUCACGAAAACGAUAGCCGACGCUAAAGACCACGUGUUCACCUACGGAAGACGGGCUUUCAUGACGAAGCCCGACCAGCCACACGUGACAUCAGCGCCGCCACUGGGAUAUAUAAGCCAUGCCGAUUAGGACCACAUCAGAGGGCACGGCGGGACCUUCAUUAAUACAACGAUAAAUCCGUUGUUUCUUUUUGUACAGGACACGUUGUGGACUGCGUCUAUACCAGAGCGCGAUGCAUCGGAUAUCACGACAACGAUAGCCGACGCUCAGGACCACAUGUUCGCCUCCAAAAGGCGGGCUUUCAUGACGAGGCCAGAGCAGACAGACGUGACAUCAGCGCCGCCACCAGGAUAUAUAAGCCACGCCGACGGGGACCAUAUUAGAGGGCCCGCCGCCCGUGAUACACGUCUCCGGCUGGUUCAACUGAUCCUGCUGCCUAGAGACUGACCAUGGAACCAAACGGAACCAAGAGCGUGCACCUUCUCUUUCCCCUUCAGGGGAAGCUGGCUGCUCCUCAUCCUCAUCGCAUUGCAAUAACAAUGCGGUAUCAAGACGAAUGCGGAUCACUGUCAUUCUGUAGCAUUGCAUUUACCUGCGGGAGAUUGAAACUAGGUUCCUGAGCGCUGUUGUUGUCUCCCGUUUUAAUUACCUUCCAACUUUAUCUUGAAACACAUGCUUCCGCUCCACUCAGUAUUUUUUUUACGCAAUUGGGCUUAUGUUACUAAACUUCGUUUGUGUCGUCGGUACUGAC
RNA transcript from Dermacentor albipictus, 904 nucleotides. RefSeq lists it as uncharacterized. Lineage: Eukaryota; Metazoa; Arthropoda; Arachnida; Ixodida; Ixodidae. The record is from RefSeq and is a predicted model, not a curated record.